Molecule: long non-coding RNA, 18746 nt
Filed under: Nicotiana tabacum (common tobacco)
Lineage: Eukaryota; Viridiplantae; Streptophyta; Magnoliopsida; Solanales; Solanaceae
Description: long non-coding RNA (NTAB_LNC010616)
Source: RNAcentral
UAAGAACCCAAACCCUAGAGACCCCUCUCUUCACUCUCUCCUCUCUCUCACUCUCUCUUGCCACCACUGUGCGCCUCCGCCGGUGUUGGUCCAAACACCCCCAAAAUUACCACCAAUCUUCUUCUCUCCUCCUCAUCUCUCCAUAUCUUCAACUCAAAUCUCCCAAAACCUCACCGAUCUCCGCGAAUAGGAAGAAAUCCAAAACCCUAACCCCUUAUAUUUUCCCAAAUUCGUGAGUUUUCAGGCCACUUUACCCCCAUAAUACAUACAUGAACUUGUAAAUAUUUACACGAUCUAGAACAUUUCAUUAGUUUCAGUCCCAAAUCUGGCGACCAACUCACUGCCACGCGGCUCCACUGCCACCGCCGCUGCUUCUCCGUCUUUUAUUUUUUAAACCAAAUGCAUUUGUUUCCUUUUGGCAAGACACCGAAAUUUAUUGGUUUAGCGUCUGCCAAAGAGAAAUAUGCGCCUCGGGGUCGGACAACCACCUCUUAGCAUCCUCGGCAUCGUCUCGUUGCUCGAUUCGACGUCGGAUGUCCCAGAGUUUGGUAUAAGCUCGCACACUAAUCUACCCCCUUCAUAAUUUAUGUUUUUUUUCCCACCCGAGUGUAAGUUUUAGUUUAAUUUUUUGUUUUCAAUUAAUUGUUAAGCUGUGAUCGUUAGUUCAAGCUUACUUUCAUUAGCCUUCUUCAAUGUUUAGUCAUUGCUUAAUAUUUUUGAAUCAGGUACUUAGUCGUUUGCUUAGGUUGCUAUUAAUCGUUGUUCGAUAGUUUAUCAAUAUUUAUUUAAGUUUUAUUUUCGGCAGCGUUUCCUAAUUUUUGUCGUCUACUGUUAAUUCUCAUAAAUCGAUUGGCUUUAGUUUAGUUUGUGUGAAUACCUAGUUUGAUUACAUUUUAAAUCUUGUUUUUGUUUUGUCAAUUCUUAGUUGUUUGAGUUUGAUUUGGUUUGAAUCACAUAGUUUGAUACUAAUAUUGUAAGAGCUGAAGUUUAGGUUAUUUUAUCAUAAAAUAGGGUACUAGUAGUCUACUUUUUACUAGUAGGGUGGCUGAAAUGAUAUUUUUCUCCUUGCUUUUGACAUAGAAGAUUUUCACGUUGUCCUUUCACCUUUUGGACAGCCUUUGAAUAAUGUUUAGCACACAAAGUCAGUCCUUUUGGACAGACUUUUGGUGAACCAAAAUCUAUCCAAAAGUGAUUUUCUUGGCCUAUUUAGGGGCUGGUCUUCUCCUCACUUUAGGGACGGAUUCUUGCAUUGAGAGACCAUCUUAAAAAAAAAAAAAGACAGCCCGGUGCACUAAGCUCCCGCUAUUUGCGGGGUCCGGGGAAGAGCCAGACCACAAGAGUCUAUUGUACGCAGUCUUACCCUGCAUUACUGAGAGACCAUCUUUUACAUUCGGAAAAAAAGAAAGACAUAACUUAAGAAAAAUCAUCAGUUGAACAUCCAAAAGUAAGCUGAAAAACUGAAAGUUUGUGAGUUCUUUCUUCUUUUCCUAAGUCAUUAUGCUUUUGGUUUGAGCUUCUGGUUUGAAUCGGGUUUAAAAGAUUGUUGUUGGUCUGUUGCUGUUGUUGGAUUGGUUGAUGUGUUUCGAUAGUGAUAUACGAAGCCAAAUCCAUUACUAUUGUCCUGCUUUCGAAUUUGCAGUCUAGGUAACUUUUCUAGCUUGUAAAGUAGUUCAUUUUCAAAGAAAUAGAAGCAUGAAGUCCUUACUUGAUUUCUGAAUAUUCUUGUAACUUUCUGGUUAGAUCUUUAUGCUACUAAAAGAAGUGUUUGUCUCAUGUAUGAAGAAUCUGUGACUUCUUGUAGUGAUAUGUUGGCAUAAGUUAUUCAUUUUAAGUUAUUCUGGAUCAAUGUUAUAUUAUGAUAAAAACCAUAAUAUAAUUACAUGCUUAGUUUAGGUUCCAUGUUGAGUUUGGUUUAGUGUAUGGGCUUCAAAAACUAAGUAUGAACACUGUGUUAGUAAAAUAAGUUGGAUUCAUUAAUUAGUAUAGUAUACUAAGAGUUCUUGCAUUUAAAAUAAUAUGUAGGAGGGUUAGUUCUAUUUUCUCUUUCUGGUGAAUUUUCUUUUCAUAGCUAGUUAAUUUCUUAAUUCUUUUAAUUAUGGUAUCAACUAUUGGAAAAUUAAUUUGCAUAUAGUGGUGUUUCUUCACUGUUAAAAGGUAGUACAUAGUUAGACAAGAGGUUUCGUACUUUUGGGGCGGAUGGUCUGGUUUGGGCGUUUAGUAGGCAAAUUAUUUUGGCCAAAACUGAAAUCACAGUAGAGUUGGCUUCAUAAUAACUAAUAAUGGGCCAGAUGCCUUUAAAAGUACAUGAAUUAUGUCUCCUUAAAUUCGUUGCUGGCCCAUUUCUUUUGUUCUUCUUUUUAAUAAGUUGCUAGACCAUUUUGCAUAUAUAAAGAAAGUUGGCCCAAUGCCAAUUAAUAAGCUGAGGCCCAUAUCUUCUUUUAAAAGUAGCUGGAUCACUUUCAACUAAUAACAAGCAGCCCUUUUAGAUUGAUAAGUUGGCUUAAUUUUUUUAUUAUUUUAUUUAUAAUCUCAAUAAAUUCAAAUCAGAUUUUUCUUUUAUAAAAAAAAAAAAUUCAAUAAUUAAUCUCUCUUAAUUAAUUUAAACGAUUGGCAAUUUUAGUCACGUUUCAAAUGUUGACCAUGUGUUAAUACACGAUCCUUGGUCAACAUUUAAUUCAUAAAAUGGUCGCGUGUGCAUUCUCGCUCCUUGACCUUAAAUUAAUAAAUUAUAUUUUUCAGUAAUUAAUUGUAUUUAAACCAUGUGUACCGACAUGUUCCUUGGUUUAGUAUAUGUAAUUAAAUAAAGUCCUUGUGUACUUACCCGCUCCUAGGCCAAAAUUAAUAAAACUUUAUUAAUUAUUAAGCGGUACUAGACAAUAGUAAUUUAAGGCAAAUAAAACACACUUUAUCUAAAAAUAAUUCAAGCAAAAUUUAAUCAAUAAAAGCGACCGUGCUAGAACUACGGGAUUCAGGGAGUGUCUUAUACCUUCUCCCUGGUCAAUAGAAUUCCUCACCCGAUAUUCUGUUUUCGCGGACCAAUAAAAAUAGAGUCAAAUAUUUCUUUGACUAGGGAUUCAAAUAAAAAGUGACUUGGAACACCAACAAAAUUAAUUCAAAGUGGUGACUCUAUAAAUAAAAUAAUUCACACUCAAUUUUGGCACUUUAAUUGGAAAAAUCCUUUAAUCCACAUAUUAUUUUUUGCGGGUGAAAAAAAGUGUGUGACAGCUCUGGCGACUCUGCUGGGGAAUAUAAGAAUUCGAGCUUGUACAUUGAUUAAUUUUUGGCUUUUAUUUAUUUUUAGAUAUUUCUUUGUAUGUGAGCCUAAUGUGUUAAUUGUCGCUCAUUUACUAUUUUUAUAUUGUUUGAACUGUAUAUAUAAACUGUCUUCUCUCGCACCCCAUCUGAGUCUUCUGAUAGGUAAUAGUGUUAUGUGUGCUGACCAGCUCCACAAAAUUUUCUGUCUGAGAUAAAGCCAACGUGCAGACCUUCUCCCGGUGAAGGAUUUAAUGACACAUGUUUAAGCGGGGAGAACCACCAGUAAAGCCGGAACCUAGAAGAACAAACCUCAUACCGGUUAUCCCUAGUAGGAUCGUUUUGUUGCAUCAUUCGACUUAGCGAAGCUCGACACAUAGGUCGGGCUCAUAUAAGACAUAUAUUCUUUUAAAGACUAUAAUGUUCACUUAUGUGCUACUUGCUACAUCAUUUGGAAAGCUUAUUUGCAUUGUUGACCUGCUCUAGGAAAAUUAGAGCGAAGUUGGAAAUAAAAUAAUAAUAAAAAAAUCAUUCCCCCCGGUUCGGUACAGAUACCUAAUUUUUACUAACAUUUUCGAAGUGGUUCGGUGUAAGUUUUUUUUAAAAAAAAAAUUAAAUUAAUCAAAGUUUUGUUUGAACUACGCGGUUAAUUUUUUCUUAAGUUUUGUUUGAGCUACGUGGGUCUGAUUCUCAUGAAUCCGGUGGGAUACAUAGGCAACCCCCAAAAGGUUUGAUCAAAUAUUUUUCAAUGACUCUAGAAUGAGUGAUCGAAAUGAGGCAAGUGAAAGGAAAAACGAAAAAAAAAAAAGAAGAAGAAGAGGAAGAAGAGGAAGAAGAAGAAGGAAAUAAGAACAUCAAUAAGCAGCAACCUUAUAAGCCGGAAUGAAACAUGAAGCCUUCCAAAAUCAUGUUAGAGAUGGUGAUAAUUUUAGGAGCAUAGCAUAUUUACGUGUGAUUCGUAUCUGUAAAAUGCUUAACCCUGACACGUUUGUUGCCUCUUAUCUAGUAAGUUUAAGGUGGUUGGUUUGUGGUGAAACUGGCAACACAUUAUUACUUCACCAGAUCUAAGAGAAAGGUAGCAAUGGCUAACAAUGAUGAGAUCGAGCUAGUCAGUGACGACCCCCAGGGUCAGUCAGUUGAGCAAGAGUUGGAGGAAAUAAGAAAAUUGAGACAUCAAUUGUCUGAUGUAUAUCAAGCUUGGGUUUUCGGUCAGCCUUCACCCCGGGGUUCCUCAAAGGGAACUUCCACCGCACCCCUGGCUACUCAACCACCACUCCAUGCAACGAGCGAUCACAUUCUACCGGUAGGGUAUGUGCCAAACUACAACCUCCAUGCUUUCCCUAGUACCUCUAAUGUGCGACCUCCAGUCGCACCGAUCAGGAACACCCCUCUCGUCGUGUCUGGUGCACCGGUAUAUACAGUCCUGCCACUACCUCCUGUGACGAGGCCAAACUACGAGCUAUAAUCUCAUGCUAUUGAUGGCCAAUAAUACUCUCCAAAUAUGGCUUUUAGGAUCUCGGCUCCAUACAAUCAGACUCCUCAAUACGAGUCACCAGUGCAAAAGGAAAAGCCUGCCAAGACAGUUGAGCCAUAUGAGAUGGCCAAAAAAAUGAAAAGUUUUGAAUAGAACAUAAAGAACAUACAAGGACUAGGUGGUCAUAAAAGUGUUUCAUUCAGUGAUUUAUGCAUGUUCCCUGACAUCUAUUUGCCACCAGGGUUCAAGACCCCAAAAUUUGAGAAAUAUAAUGGACAUGGCUACCCUAUCACCCACUUGAAAAGGUACUACAACCAGCUGAUGGGUGCAAGUGGAAAAACAGAAUUGCUGAUGGUUUAUUUUGGGGAAAGUCUUGUGGGUGUAGCCUCCGAAUGGUUUAUUGACCAAGAUAUCUCUCACUGGCAUGUUUGGGAUGACAUGGCCCAAGCCUUCAUUAAACAAUUUCAGUGCAAUAUUGAUAUUGCACCAGAUCGCAAUUCCCUAUCCAAUACGAAGAAAAAGCUGACUGAAAGCUUUAGGGAGUAUGCCAUCAAGUGGAGGGAGCAAACGACUAGAGUUAAGCCACCCAUGGAUAACCACGAGUUAAUCACUAUUUUUCUGGAGGCUCAAGAGCCUGAUUAUUUUCAGAACAUGAUGUCCGCGAUGGGUAGACCUUUUGCAGAAGCAAUUAAAAUAGGGGAGAUGGCCGAAAAUGGCCUCAAGACUGGAAGAAUUGUAAGUCAAGCUGCUCUCAAAGCCACCACCCAAGCAAUCCAAAAUGGGUCGGGAAGUUUGGCAAAUAGGAAGAAGAGAGAAGAAGGGUCCAUGAUGACCUAGGGAUCUAGGGAAGUUCAAAGAGAGGGCAUCGCACCCUUAUGUGCAAGAUCAGCAGGGGCAAUACAGCUACCCUCAACAUUAUUAUCCCCCGUAAAUUCCUCAGUACUUUGUGGGCCCACCACAGUAUACAUUGUUUAAUGCUCAAUCCUAUGCCCGGCCUCCCAAUCAACAGGUACGGGUACCAUCUCUAAGGAUCCCCCGACCUCAGCAAUAAAAUUUUCGGACACCCUACAAUGCCCGUCAUAUGCAGGAUUAUGGUCGAGAGCAGAUGCCGAUGGAAAAAUUCACUCCAUUGGCUGAAUCAUACUCUAGUAUAUUCCAGAAAUUGAAGUAGAUGGGCGUGAUUGUACCCAUCGCUCCCCACUAUAUGCAUCCCGAUUCACAUGAAUUUCAAGCAAAUGUUACAUGUGAAUAUGACUCAGGUGCCCCGGGCAUAGCACUGAUGACUGUUGGACUCUAAAAAGAGCCAUAGAAAGACUCAUUGCUGAAAAAUUGAUUGUAGUGAUGAAUGGCGAGGACCCACCUAAUGUGACCAACAACCCGUUGCCAGUACACAAUGAUGUUCAUUUUGUGGGAAUGAUUGGUUGAGAUCAAGAAUACAAUCUGGUCGGUCGAGCAGAAAUGAUAGCGGGAACGAUUCAAGAGGGAACCAAACUGGAAGUAAGUCCAAGUCGAGAUGCACCGUUGAUUGAGAAAGGCUCCCCAAGCUCAGAAAAGACAACUUUAUUUGCUCCCAAGGUCUCGAGGUUGGAAGUUCGCUCCAAUGUUCCAAGCCUAAGGUUGUAUGUCUUUAAAGGCCACCCCAUCACAAGGCAGAAUCAGGGUGGUACGAAGGGUAUAACAAGGCCGAUCAUAAUCAAACCUGCCGUGCAACCCCCUAUGACAAAUACGAAAACCAUUCCUUGGAACUACAACAAAACUGUGGUGACCUACAAAGGCAAGGAAAUCAUAGGAGAAGUGGGGGAAACUUGAGGUUUGACUCGAUCGGGGAGGUGUUACUCUCCAGAAGAGUUGAGGAAGGCCAAGCAAAUCGGAGAAGGCCAAAUGCUAAUAAAGAAACUAGUCACUGAAGAAGAGGCAGAACAGUUUUUGAAAAAGAUGAAAGUGCAGGAUUACUCAAUCAUUGACCAGUUGAGAAAGACUCCUGUCCAAAUCUCUCUGUUAUCUCUGCUCAUACACUCAGAAGAGCAUGCCCGUGUACUAAUCAAGAUCCUCAACGAUGCACAUGUCUCAGAGAAGACCACUGUGAAUCAGUUAGAGAAGGUGGCCAACAGAUUUUUUGAGGUAAACAUAAUCUCAUUUACUGAUGAUGAACUUCCUGAGGAGGGAACUAUGCACAAUAGGGCUUUACACCUGAUUUUCAAAUGUGAUGGGCAUUAUGUAAAGCGAGUCAUAGUUGAUGGAGGCUCGAGUGUAGAUGUAUUCCCUAUCUCUACCUUGCAAAGCAUGAAGAUAAAUACAGAUAUAAUCCGACCCAGCAAUGUUCGCAUCCUGGCUUUUGAUGGCUCAACGAGAGAUACCAUUGGGGAGAUCAACCUCACCAUGACGAUUGGGCUGGUUGAUUUUGAAAUUAUCUUCUAAGUAGUGGACAUGGAAACUUCUUAUAACUUUCUUCUUGGAAUGCCAUAGAUCCAUACGGCCUGAGCUGUGCCAUCCACCUUGCAUCAGAAGCUCAAAUUCGAAUAUGACAGGUAAGAAAUUAUUGUUCACGGAGAAGACGAGUCAUCCAUUUACAAAGACCCAUUAAUCCCGUGUAUUGAGGCCAAGGAAGGAUGUGAGUCCAUUGUAUAUCAGGCUUUUGAAGUGGUUGCUUUGGACCAUGUUAGGGAAGGAAAGCCCAUUCUGCAUCCUCAUCUCUCCGCCACAUCUGUAAUGGUGGCACUUAUGCUGAGACAAGGUUAUGAGUCAGGAAAAGGCUUGGGGGCAUCAUUGCAAGGAAUUUCGGAACCCAUUUCUCCGUUCAGUAACAAGGGUACUUUUGGUUUAGGCUUCAGGCCAACACAAGCAGACGUAGACAAAACCAAGCACCACAAAAAGCAUGGGUGGGUAUUGCAGCAACCUAUCCCUCACAUUUUCUAUACUUUUGUCAAGCCACGACUCUAAGAGGGUCAAAAUUCCUCGGCGCAUGCUAUGGCUGUCCAACGGGACGGGACGGGACGGGACGACAUUUAGCCGGGACGGUGGCGGGACGAGACGAAAUGGGACGGGACAAACGGGAUGAAAUGGUAGGCCCAUCCCGUCCCGCUAACAAAUGGGACGGGACGGGACGGACGGUAGGCCCAUCCCAUCCCGCUAACAAACGAGAUGGGACGGGACGGAACGGGACGGGACGGGUUCGCGGGCCUUAAGUGCCAUUUUAAAAAAAAUUAUUUAAGCACUGAGUUUGACAACGGAUAUUCUUUUGGCAAUGACUAAGUUUUUAAAGUUUGCAACAUCUAAUUUUUUGACUUAUUCAAUAAAUUUAAAAAUUAAACAAAAAUUAGAAAACUAAGUAAAGAAUUAUAAAAUAUUAAAACAAAAGAUUUGUAAUAAAAUAUUCUAGCAAUUAUAAAUAUAUAAUAGAGUUAUAAUUUAUUUAAUAUAAUUUCGAGUGUAAGAGAAUUCAUAAAACAAAUUCAACGCUUAGAGCCUUUUAUUUUAUUAAUAGAACUUUCAAAUCUCACAUACAAAUAUAAUUCUUUUGAAGAGCACCUAAUCUAUGCAGCCACCUUCUACUCGCUUUAUUAGCCCGAAAAAUAUAGCCGCAAGCAUGUUGUACUUUACUACAAGCAUCAAAAAAUAAAUUAAUACCAUCUUUUACAACCAAGUUAAAAAUAUGGCAUGCACAUCUAACAUGAAAAAUUACCGGAUUAAUUGGACAAAAUCUAGUUCUUAAACUAGUUGCUGCAGUUGUGUUAGCAGAAGCAUUAUCUAAGGUGAUAGUUAAAACUUUAUCAAUGAGUCCAUAAAAAUCAAGUAUUUGUAGAACAGUAGUUGCAAUAUAUACUCCAGUGUGUUUUGAAUCAACAAAUUUAUAACCAAUAAUACAUUUUUGCAUGUUCAAGUGAUGAUCAAACCAAUGACAUGUAACAGUUAAAUAAUCACAACCAUUAGGACUACGGCCUAUAUCAGAUGUGAUGGACACUUUACAAUCUAAGUGAAAAAAUACACAACGAAUAUACUGAAGAUAUUCGGUUUGAAAUUUAAAAACAUCAUUUCUAACUGUAGUCUUAGGAAAACCUUGAAAAGAAGGAUUAUAAGUUUCUUGUAUAUAAUGAACAAAAGCAGGGUGAGAAGGAAAGGUAAAAGGUAAGCCACAUACAGCUACCAUUUUUGCUAAGUUCUCACGAUCUCUAUCUUUGUUAUAUGGGCGUAAAAUCGUACUAGAAGCAGGGUCAAGCUGUUGUUGUAAAAAAUUAGAACCCCCGCCAGAUAUACUAGGAGUGCUAGUACCAGUGCUAGGAUCCUAUAUUUGUCCGGCUUCUAUUUUAGCUUGUAUCCAUAAAGCUUUGUGGUCCCUACCUAAGUGCCUAGAUAAGCCCCCCGUCCCACCACUUUUGGUGUGCACAAAUCGUUACUUACAUAUUUCACAUGUAGCACGUUGGUUGACUUUAUCAUGUUUAAAAAAUUUUCAUACAAGUGAUGUUUUGGGACGUUCACCCUUAGGCUUACCCCUUACAGGAGGUACAGGGGGUAAAGUUCCAGAUCGAGAUUGACUCUGAGUUGGAGCUUGUGUUACGGGACUAGUGGGUGUUUCAUCUAAUUCUUCUUCCUCAUUUUCUUCAUCCUCAUUUUCUUCAUCCUCAUUUUCUUCGUCCUCAAUAAAAAUAUCCUUGCCAAAUUGUCUUUGUAAAGUUUCAUGAUCUAGUUGUUCUCCGAAAUUAAUANNNNNNNNNNNNNNNNNNNNNNNNNNNNNNNNNNNNNNNNNNNNNNNNNNNNNNNNNNNNNNNNNNNNNNNNNNNNNNNNNNNNNNNNNNNNNNNNNNNNNNNNNNNNNNNNNNNNNNNNNNNNNNNNNNNNNNNNNNNNNNNNNNNNNNNNNNNNNNNNNNNNNNNNNNNNNNNNNNNNNNNNNNNNNNNNNNNNNNNNNNNNNNNNNNNNNNNNNNNNNNNNNNNNNNNNNNNNNNNNNNNNNNNNNNNNNNNNNNNNNNNNNNNNNNNNNNNNNNNNNNNNNNNNNNNNNNNNNNNNNNNNNNNNNNNNNNNNNNNNNNNNNNNNNNNNNNNNNNNNNNNNNNNNNNNNNNNNNNNNNNNNNNNNNNNNNNNNNNNNNNNNNNNNNNNNNNNNNNNNNNNNNNNNNNNNNNNNNNNNNNNNNNNNNNNNNNNNNNNNNNNNNNNNNNNNNNNNNNNNNNNNNNNNNNNNNNNNNNNNNNNNNNNNNNNNNNNNNNNNNNNNNNNNNNNNNNNNNNNNNNNNNNNNNNNNNNNNNNNNNNNNNNNNNNNNNNNNNNNNNNNNNNNNNNNNNNNNNNNNNNNNNNNNNNNNNNNNNNNNNNNNNNNNNNNNNNNNNNNNNNNNNNNNNNNNNNNNNNNNNNNNNNNNNNNNNNNNNNNNNNNNNNNNNNNNNNNNNNNNNNNNNNNNNNNNNNNNNNNNNNNNNNNNNNNNNNNNNNNNNNNNNNNNNNNNNNNNNNNNNNNNNNNNNNNNNNNNNNNNNNNNNNNNNNNNNNNNNNNNNNNNNNNNNNNNNNNNNNNNNNNNNNNNNNNNNNNNNNNNNNNNNNNNNNNNNNNNNGCAACUAAUUGGCCCAGACACCAUGCUCAACAACUGGGAAGCAACUCUUCUCCCCACAAGGAAUGAGUCUUGGUAGUUUGCUUUUGCAGCUUCUUUUUUGUACUUUGGGUUACUUUCAGGGUUGUAAUCCAAACAUCUCAAUAUGAUUGUUUUAUUUUGAUGUUAACCCUUCUAUCCUUUCAAAUUCAAUGAAAUACAGUUUAGUUUGGUAUUAAGUUUUGUAUCUUUUCCUUUUCCUAAUUCCUGUCAUUUUGUUUCCAUUUCAGUUUUGUUAAUGCCGGCUUUAAUAAUAUGACAUACAUGCGGAAUUCACUCCCGGAUAUCAAAACGCUGUCUAAUUUUGAAAUAAUGCAUCAAGAGGUCGAAUAUGAUGAAGAUGAGGAUGUUGAGGAAAUAAAAAGAGAGUUGGAACAAUUUGAAAACAAGCCUAAGCCCAACCCCAAUGAAACUGAUCCAAUUAAUAUCGGAAGUCAUGGAGAAGUUAGAGAAACAAAGAUAAGCAUUCACACCAAACAAAAAACCAGAGAUUCCUUGAUUCAGCUUUUAUUUGAAUACAGAGAUGUGUUUGCUUAGUAUUAUGAUGAUAUGCCGGGUUUAAGUGUUGAUCUAGUGGUUCAUAAGCUUUUCACAUAUCCUGAUUUUCCACCAGUCCAACAAAAGCAACGUAAAUUUAAAACGGAAAUGAGUAAAAAAUCAAAGAGGAAAUAAUGAAGCAACUGAGCGCCAAUGUGGUCAGAGCUGUCCGAUACACCACCUGGGUGGCAAAUGUUGUGCCUGUACCAAAGAAGGAUGGAAAAACCAGAGUCUGUGUUGACUACAGGGACCUGAAUAAAGCAAGUCCAAAAGAUAAUUUUCCUUUACCAAAUAUGCACAUUCUUGUAGAUAAUUGAGCAAAGCAUAAGAUACAAUCAUUCGUGGAUUACUAUACUGGGUACCAACAGAUUCUAAUGGAUGAGGAUAAUGCAGAAAACACCGCUUUCACCAUUUCAUGAGGUACUUAUUGUUACAGGGUCAUGCCAUUCGGUUUGAAGAAUGCAAGGGUAACUUACAUGAGGGCCAUGACUACCAUUUUCCACGACAUGAUGCACAAAGAGAUUGAAGUAUAUGUCGAUGAUGUCAUCAUAAAAUCAAAGACAAAGGUUGAUCACGUGCGUGAUUUGAAAAAGUUCUUUGAACGGCUUCGAAGGCAUAACCUUAAGCUCAAUCUAGCCAAGUGUGCAUUUGGGGUUCCAUCUGGGAAACUCCUCGAUUUUAUAGUCAGCCGGAAAGGCAUCGAAUUGGAUCCAUCUAAGAUAAAGUCCUUUCGAGAUCUGCCACCCUUGGAGAACAAAACGGAGGUCAUGAGUUUGCUCGGGAGGUUGAACUACAUCAGUAGGUUCAUUGCUCAGCUCACAACCACAUGCGAGCCUAUCUUUAAGUUGCUAAAAAAAGAUGUUGCUACCAAGUGGACAAACGAUUUCCAAAAAGCUUUUGACAAGAUCAAAGAUUAUUUGUCAAAAUCCCCUGUACUGGUCCCACCUGAACCUAGUAAGCCUUUGGUUUUAUAUCUAUCGGUGAAGGAUAAUUCCUUUGGAUGCGUUCUGGGGCAACAUGAUGCAACAGGCAAAAAGGAACAUGCAAUCUAUUAUUUGAGCAAGAAGUUCACCAAUUAUGAGGUUAAAUACACCCUUUUAGAAAAGACAUAUUGUGCCUUGACUUGGGUCGCUCAGAAGCUGAGGCAUUAUCUUUUGGCCUACACUACUUACCUCGUAUCCAGAAUGGAUUCUUGAAGUACAUCUUCCAAAAGCCAAUGCCUACNNNNNNNNNNNNNNNNNNNNNNNNNAUGAAAGCACAGGCUUUGGCAGAUCAUUUGGCAGAGAAUCCAGUUGAUGAUGAUUACAAGCCACUUAGCACAUACUUCCCAGACAAAGAGGUCAACUCAAUAGAGGAAGUAGUUCCGGACGACAACCAUGUAUGGACAAUGUAUUUUGAUGGGGCUGUCAAUAUUAAAGGAGUUGAGAUCGGGGCAAUCCUCAUCUCACAUAUUGGACAACAUUACCCUGCAACGGCCCGACUUCGGUUCUUCUAUACCAAUAAUAUGGCAGAAUACGAAGUUUGUAUCAUGGGUCUAAAAAUGGCCCUCGAUCUGGAGGUGCAUGAACUAUUAGUUGUGGGAGAUUUUGACUUGCUUAUCCGGUAAGCCCAAGGCGAAUGUGAGACUCAAGACAUCAAGCUUGUUCCAUACAGACAAUGUGUACAAGACCUGAGCAAAAGAUUCAAAUCCAUCGAAUUCAAGUACAUUCCCAGGUUUCACAACGAGCUAGCCGACGCCUUGGCUACCUUAGCCUCGAUGCUCCCUUAUCCAAGCAACACUCAUAUUGAUCCAUUGCAAAUCCAAGUUCGGAAUCAGCAUGGUUACUGCAAUACAAUUGAGGCAGAACCAGAUGGUGAACCAUGGUAUCAUGACAUAAAACGAUUCUUGAAAACAAAGGAGUACCCAGAGCAUGCCAAGGGAGAUAAAAAAAGAACUAUAAGGCGGUUCGCCGACGGUUUCUUCCUGAAUGGGGAAACUUUGUACAAAUGGACCCCAGAUUUGAACUUAUUGAGAUGCAUAGAUGCCACAGAAGCUGAGCGAAUCAUAAGUGAAGUGUAUUCAGGGGUAUGCGGACCUCACAUGAAUGGACAUGUUUUGGCAAAGAAAAUUCUGCGGGCAUGGUAUUAUUGGCUUACUAUGGAGCGAGAUUGCUUCAGUUUUGUUCGCAAGUGUCACCAAUGCCAGAUUCAUGGUGACCUGAUUCACUCGCCUCCAUCGGAGUUGCAUCCUAUGUACUCUCAUUGGUCUUUCAUUGCUUGGGGAAUGGAUGUUAUUGGUCCAAUCGAGCCAAAGGCUUCAAAUGGGCAUAGAUUCAUUCUGGUCGCCAUUGACUACUUCACCAAGUGGGUGGAGGCAGAUACUUUCAAAGCAGUCACCAAGAAAGCAGUGGUAGACUUCGUUCAUUCCAGCAUCAUCUGUCGUUAUGGUAUCCCAAAGACCAUUAUUACUGACAAUGCGGCCAAUCUAAAUAGAUGAAGGAGGUAUAUGAGCAAUUUAAAAUUGUGCAUCGCCAUUCUACCCCUUACCGACCAAAAGCCAAUGGAGUCGUUGAAGCGGCAAACAAGAACAUCAAGAAGAUUCUCAGGAAGAUGAUCCAAGGGUCCAGACAAUGGCAUGAAAAAUUGCCUUUUGCUCUUUUGGGAUGCCACACGACUGCUCGCAUAUCUGUUGGUGCAACUCCUUAUCUGCUUGUAUAUGGAACUGAAGAUGUAAUACCAGCAUAAGUCAAAAUUCCCUCUCUCUGAAUCAUUAUGGAAUCGGAGAUUGAAGACACUGAGUGGGUCAAGACCCGAUUAGAACAGCUAAUGUUGAUUGAUGAAAAACGGCUAGCAGCAGUGUGUUUUGGCCAGUUAUACCAGCAAAGAAUGACACGCGCUUAUAACAAGAAAGUGCGCCCAAGGCAUUUUGAGGUAGGCCAGCUCGUUUUAAAAUGCAUCCUUCCGCACCAGGUAGAAACUAAAGUAAAGUUCGCCCCGAACUGGCAAGGACCCUACAUCAUCAAGAAAGUAUUAACAAAAGAGGCUUUGCACUUGGUAGAUGAAGAAGGACUGGUACCAUACAUGAUUAUUAAUGCAGAUGCAGUCAAAAGAUAUUAUGUUUGAUUCAUACCCACUGCAGAACUUACACACAUGAUUUUCUCAGAUCGAGAUAACGAAGGCUAUCUUUGCUCACUACCCCAAAUAGGUGUCAUCCUUUUGUUAACCCUUUUGAGCCAUAUUUGUCUUAUUGGUUUUCCCUCAUUUUGGAACCUCUGUACUUGUAAAAGAAAAAAAAGAAAAAAGAAACAAAUCUUCUGAGUCAGUGAACUACGUCUGACAUGAUUCCGAAAGGAUACGUAGGCAGCCUUACCCUGGGUUCGGUCCUAUUGCAACAAAAAAUCCAUAUUCCCAAUACUCCAAAACGAGGCAGAAGUUUGUUUUAUUUUACAAUUUUUUUCUGUAAAAACGGUUCUAAAAGUUGUAAUUCAGUUCAAGGUUCUUUUGAGAAUGUUUGAAAUCCCCAUGCCAAGGGAGUUUAGCAACCCUCCGCAUGCAAUAUUUUAGUCAAUAAAAAAAAGAAAAAAAAGAAAAGCAAAGAAAUGAGAGAGUCUUAUCGGUGAGAACCCGUAUGGGCACUGUAAGGAGACAGUGAGCAGAGAAAUGAGAGUGUCUUAUUGGUGAGAACUCAGAUGAGCACCAUAAGACGACGAUGAUUAGAGAAAUGAGAGAGGCCAGUUAGCGAAAACCCGCAAAGGGUGCUACUAGCCAAAAAAGGGUCUUCGAUACCCAGGCAUGAGCACAACUAAGACAGUUUCAAGAUGAACAUUUGCGAUGGAUUUUGAGAAUUAGACAGCGCAGACGGAUCGGGCAUCCAGUCCAAAAUGCAUGCCAUGAUUCAUUGAAGUCGGCACAUACCUCCAGAUAAGUCUCCCUAUUCCUCUCCCCGAAAGGGACACCAUUUGUUUAUACACAAUUCCUUUUUAAUGUUUAAUUGCUCUUAUAUUUUUUCCCAUAAUUUUUCUUUGAGUCCCUUCGGUCUAAUCUUGCAUAAAAAGCAAAGCAAAGAAAUGGCUGCAAAACUGGCUACAACUUUCCCGUAAUAUCGAGCACAAUUUGGGGCACAUAUGGCAUUGACAAAGGCACGAAUUCAUCCGUGAUCUCUUUUGAUAAGCCAAAUAAAGUGUCUCAAAGAAACUAAAAAGGUCUCCUAAGCAAGAUUUGCUUCAUGGGAAAAGUUGAUAAGCACUACAAAUACAAACUGAUACUAGGUGCAAGAUAACUAAGUUUGAUUUUAAAGAAAAACUUGCCUUGCCUUAGGGACACAAGUUGGAGGUACCAUGGACAUCCGGGUAUGAAAAAGUCAGUGGCAACGUCAGAAAGCCAAGGUCACCAGAAAGUAAUACAGAGUAUCUGAGCACCUCGGUACCGCACCAAAAGAAUCAAUUCUUUGACAACGAGUGGUCAUGAAUUCACACUGCUCAGGGCAUCAAGGCCAUAAACCAAAUACCACUUUGAAAACUCACAAUUUUUCUUUGUUUGAAGCAGGAACAAAGCAGUGCAUAAUGGCGAUUCUCAAAGGACGAACGUCACAAAAGGUAAGUUCCUCAAAAUCUCCAUUUUCUUUUAUUUUCAGCAUGCGUCACUACUAUUCAUACCUCUCAUUUUCGUAGCUUAACUCAUGUAGAACUUUUUUGCCUAGGGGGAUCCAGCUCAUAUUUCUCAAUAGAAGUACUUUUCGCUCAGGUUUGUUUUAUGUUAGCUUAACUCAGGUAGAACCCUUUCGCGUAGAGGGAUUCAACACUUUAUCCAUAAUUCAGGGUGCCAACCCCUGGUUAUAUUUUCUUUCAGUAAUACAGGGUACCAACCCCUGGUUUCAUUCCUUUCGGUAAUAUAGGGUACCAACCCCUGGUUACACUCAUUUCGGUAAUACAAGGUAUUAACCCCUCGUUACAUUCCUUUUCGGUAAUACAGGGUACCAACCCCAGGUUACACUCCUUUCGAUAAUACAGGGUACCAACCUCUGGUUAUAUUCCUUUUCAGUAAUACAGUGUACAAACCCCUGGUUACAUUCUUUUUAGUAAUACAGGGUACCAAACCCUAGUUACAUUCCUUCUCGAUAAUACAUGGUGCCAACCCCUAGUUACACUCAUUUUAGUAAUACAGGGUGCCAACCUAUAGUUACACUCCUUUCAGUAAUAUAGGGUACCAACCCCUGGUUACACUCCUUUCGAUAAUACAUGGUACCAACCCCUUGUUACAUUCCUCUUCAAUAAUACAGGUUACUAACCACUGGUCACAUUCCUUUCGGUAAUACAGGGGACCAACCCCUAGUUACAUUCCUCUUUAAGAAUACAGGGUGCCAACCCCUAGUUACAUUCCUUUCAGUAAUACAGGGUACCGACCCCCUGUUACUUUCCUCCUCAGUAAUAUAGGGUACCAACCCCUGGUUACAUUCCUUUCCAGUAAUACAGGGUACCAACCCCUGGUUACUUUUCUUCUCAGUAAUACAGGGUGUCAACCCCUGGUUACACUCAUUUCAGUAAUACAGGGUAUCAACCCCUGGUUACAUUCAUCUUUAGUAAUAUAGGGUACCAACCCCUGAUUACAUUCAUCUUUAGUAAUAUAGGGUACCAACCCCUGGUUACAUUCCUUCCUAGUGAUACAUGGCGCCAACCCCUGGUUACUUUCCAUUUAGGUAAUACAGGGUACCAACCCCUAGUUACAUUCAUUCUUAGUGAUACAGGACGCCAACCCCUGGUUAAUUUCCAUUUCAGUAAUACAUGGUACCAACUCCUGGUUACAUUCAUUCCUAGUGAUACAAGGCGCGAACCCCUGGUUACAUAUAUUUCCCAGUAAUACAGGGUGCCGACCCCUAGUUACGUUUUCCUUCAAGUAAUACAAUGUGCCAUUCCUUAAGUGCUUUCCCUUAUGGCAACCCAGGGUACCACCCCCCUGGUUUGCAUAUCUUCUUGGUAACGUGGGGUACACAAUCCCUCAUUAUAAAUUUCAUCUCUUUUAGCUACUUUAUACUACUGUCUCUGCAUGUCUUUCAACAGAUUAGAUAGUUUAUAGCUUUCUCUGAUAACUCACAAAAUUUUGUUCGUUUUGUUCGUCUUUGAUGGCUUUGCAGGCCCUGCCGUAGAGCACAAGUGAUGAUUAAAGCUUGCAGUUUCAGUUUCUCAUCAGAAGAAAGAAGUCUUUCGAUCACAAGAUAGUUGGAGUUAGCUUUGAUAAUGUGUCAGCAACCCAGCUUCUCAAGUUUCACUUUCCCAAAUUCUGAUCCGGAAAUCAAGCAAUCAAGAAUGAGCCAUAAUCUUUUCUUCAAAGAGCGUCAAGAUCCAAUCUAAGGUCAGCACAAGCGAGCAUAUCAAGAAUCAAGAUUUGACUCUACAAGACACAUAGAUAGGAAUUUUGUAACUCUUAGCUUGCAGGCAUAUGUAGUUCUCUUCAUUUUUUCCUUUUGAUAUAAGCAGCAGAAAUAGUAACAAAAGUAACAGCAGUAACAACAAGAAGCAACAGUCUUAAAUCCAGUGUCCGAUACUCCCAGCUACCAAAUUUUCCUAAAACUACACUGACCUGAUUCCUUUAUAGCCAGGGAUAUGUAAGCAACCUCAGAAGCAAGGUUCGGUCAUGUUUUUCAAAAAUGCUUCCCUUGGAGUGAUAUGUGAGAGAAAUUAGUCAUGCUAUUCACUAUCUUUGCACGAAAACUCUUCAUGUUCUCGAGCAAAGAGGGGCAACUGUAAAUGACUAAUUUUUGUUUUUCUUUUUCUUCCACAUUAUAAUUUUUAGUAUUGUUAUGUGUGUAUUUGUAUAUUUUGAAUUAGACUUUAAUUUAAUUAAUUGUUGUUAGGUUCAAGGGAUUGGGUUUCUUUAUUUUCAUCCAAAUUGGGCAAAAAUUUGAGGCAAAGCAGCAGCCCAAAUCAUGUUAACCCAGUCCAAGAUGAUUCUAAGAUCGAACGACGUAGUUUUAUGUUGAAACUACGUCAUUUCAUUUAGUAAUAUGAAGACUUGAUCUCAUCCAUCCAUGAUCUUUGAUCCAAAGGCUCUCAUUUGUUCAACUUUGAGGUAUAAAAGCCUUUUAAAAUCAGAUUUUUUGCCAUUUCUCUAAGAACCCAAACCCUAGAGACCCCUCUCUUUACUCUUUCAUCCUCUCACCCUCUCUUAAGUUGCCGCCCCCCUCCACUGCCACCACCGUGCGCCACCGCCGGUGUUGGUCCAAACACCCCCAAAAUUACCACCAAUCUUCUCCUAUCCUCCCAAUCUCUCCAUAUCUUCAACUCAAAUCCCCUAAAACUUCACUAAUCUCCGCUAAUAUGAAGAAAUCCAAAACCCUAUCCCCUUAUAUUUUCCCAAGUUCAUGAGUUUUCAGGCCACUUUACCCCAUAAUACAUACAUGAACUUGUAGAUCUUUCCACGAUCUAGCACUUUUCAUUAGUUUAAGUCCCGAAUCCGUCAACCAAAAUUCAGUGACCACCUUACUGCCGUGCGGCUCCGCUGCCACUGUCGCUGCUUCUCCGUCUUUUAUUUUUUGACCCAAAGGAAUUUGUUUCCUUUUGGCAAGAUGCCGGAAUCUAUUGGUUUAGCGUAUGUCAAAGAGAAAUAUGUGUCUCGGGAUCGGACAACCACCACUUGGCAUCCUCGGCAUCGUCUCAUUGCUCGAUUCGACGUCGGAUGUCCCGGAGUUUGGUAUAAGCUCGCACCCUAAUCUUUUCCCCCCCCCCUUUUUUUUUUCAUAAUUUAUGUUUUUUCCCCAUCCGAGUGUAAGUUUUAGUUUAAUUUUAUAUUUUUAAUUAAUUGUUAAGUCGUGAUUGUUAGUUCAAGUUUACUUUCAUUAGCCUUCUUCAAUAUUUAGUCGUUGCUUAAUAUUUUCGAAUCAGGUACUUAGUCAUUUGUUUAGGUUGCUAUUAAUCAUUGUUCGAUAGUUUAUC